UUGACCUCAAAUCAGGCAGGACUACCC
Molecule: ribosomal RNA, 27 nt
Filed under: Fistulina pallida
Lineage: Eukaryota; Fungi; Basidiomycota; Agaricomycetes; Agaricales; Fistulinaceae
Description: partial 25S ribosomal RNA
Source: RNAcentral